Molecule: non-coding RNA, 797 nt
Filed under: Pongo abelii (Sumatran orangutan)
Lineage: Eukaryota; Metazoa; Chordata; Mammalia; Primates; Hominidae
Source: RNAcentral
CUCUGUGACUGGCUUGCUUGAUAGUUAGGGUCUGAUUGCUGCCUGAGACACCAUAUCGGUACUCCUCAGAGUUGAUGCAUAGUGUUCAUAUGAGGAGAGACUUUCCCUUGUCUCCGUCAUCUGUGAUUUCACUUCCCUGACAGAAGACGAAGCUUCCAUCUCAGAUGUUUUCUUAAAUGAUGAAACAGCAUACGCCUCUGUUCUUGUCAGCUCAGGGAAAACAGAUCUGGGGACCUCUUCAUCUCUGCGUCGGGAAGCAUAGGUGGUAUAAUCCCCUCCUGUUACGUCCAGCGUUGCAUAGUCAGAAGCUUCGCCCUUGUAGUUGGUGCACACAGCACGGUGAUCACAGGAUCUGGUUUGCCACUGAAAGGAAUCUUGAUGCUGACCACUUCACCUCGGAGAGCAUGAACUGCUCCCAUGCCUUCAAGAGUUUUAGGAUGGCAUCAACUGUUCCAAAAACAUUGCUGAGCUGGACUUUGUAUUUCCCAGCAUGAGUCUUACGUUGGACAUUCUUCAUGACAAGAUGAGUAUAGUGCUCAGUGUUUUCAAUAGUAAUGUUUUCUGAGUUUUGCAAAAGUUUCUGACCAUGGAACCAAGUCAUGGCAGGUACUGGACGACCAAUGUACAUAACAUGAAGCCGAAGUGUGGAACCCACAGCUCCAUAAUAUUUCUCUUUCAGUGGGUAACCAGGAUGGAACUGUGGUGUUGCUUGCAGGAGAAGCUUACUACUGGUUUCUACUUCUCCAACCUCAUUGGUGGCUAUGCAGGCACUGUCUCCAGACUGUCUAUAUUCAACC